CGCUGGUCCAAGUGCAGUGGUGUUUACAACAUAUUGAUCACAGCCAGUGACAGAUUUCUUUGUUCCUUCUCCCCUCCCACUGCUUCACUUGACCAGCCAAAA
This 102-nucleotide Y RNA is filed under the name Microcebus murinus (gray mouse lemur). RNAcentral describes it as "Y RNA (ENSMICG00000046991.1)". It matches the Rfam family "Y RNA". Rfam says of the family: Y RNAs are components of the Ro ribonucleoprotein particle (Ro RNP), in association with Ro60 and La proteins. The Y RNAs and Ro60 and La proteins are well conserved, but the function of the Ro RNP is not known. The record is from Rfam by way of RNAcentral. Lineage: Eukaryota; Metazoa; Chordata; Mammalia; Primates; Cheirogaleidae.